Molecule: transfer RNA, 87 nt
Filed under: Deltaproteobacteria bacterium HGW-Deltaproteobacteria-19
Lineage: Bacteria; Deltaproteobacteria
Also listed under: 1 other name
Description: tRNA-Leu
Rfam family: tRNA
About the family: Transfer RNA (tRNA) molecules are approximately 80 nucleotides in length.
Source: RNAcentral
GCGAGAGUGGCGGAACUGGCAGACGCACUGGACUUAGGAUCCAGCGGGCGAGAGCCCUUGAGGGUUCAAAUCCCUCCUUUCGCACCA